Molecule: non-coding RNA, 29 nt
Filed under: Mus musculus (house mouse)
Lineage: Eukaryota; Metazoa; Chordata; Mammalia; Rodentia; Muridae
Source: RNAcentral
UACAAGAUGAUGGUGAUGGGAUCCCUGGA